This 396-nucleotide ribosomal RNA is filed under the name Triticum aestivum (bread wheat). RNAcentral describes it as "partial small subunit ribosomal RNA". The record is from RNAcentral. Lineage: Eukaryota; Viridiplantae; Streptophyta; Magnoliopsida; Poales; Poaceae.
AUGAUUGCUCUUAUCGGUAUGGCUCCUACCGAGGCUGAGGCUGAUGUAGAGGAGGGAGAAGAGAAGAAGAAGAAGGAAAGGAAAGCAGCCGGAGCUGCUUUCACGUGGAUUCAAACUCACUUUGCGACGUGCCCUCCGGAUGCCACUGAUGACGUGAUCCAGACACAUGCUCGUGUCUACAUGUGGUAUGUUGUGUCGAGGACUUUGUUUCCUGACUCCACUGGCAAGAACACUCCAUGGAUGUGGCUGAAGGUGUUGACCGUCUUCGAUAGCAAAUGGAGCUGGGGUUCAGCGACUCUUGCCUACUUGUACCGACAGCUGGACGAUGCGUGUUGUAGGAUCACAGAUAGUGCAGGCAUUGGUGGUAAUAUGCUUCUACUUUCUGUAUGGAGCUAG